UAUUAAUUUGGCAGAUUUAUGCGAAUGACUUAGAAUCAUAGUAUACCUUUUGAGGUGGUUAAUAA
RNAcentral lists this transfer RNA (65 nucleotides) under Orcula dolium. RNAcentral describes it as "tRNA-Leu". Lineage: Eukaryota; Metazoa; Mollusca; Gastropoda; Stylommatophora; Orculidae. The record is from RNAcentral.